CUGCAGCACAGUUGGACCAACCACCAACCUUCGGAAGCAUGCCACAUUGUGCCGCAACACCACAAAGUAGAGGGACCAAGUGGAGGUCCACGAAAUCGUGCGAGAUUUUUCUGUCAACUAGGAGUAUCUUGCGGGUUCAACCCCCAAAACUAGGCUUAGUUUGACCAAUGAGAGAUGGGACAACCGGGAGACGGGAGAGCCGGAACACCCGUUUCCCUCGACCGGCUACGAUGCGGCGAUAGACAGACGGAGUUCGCAGCGGCAGCGCCGAGCGGCGGGUUGCGGCACUAUACGGCGCCGUCGCAUUGGCGCAUUGGAUACCUAGACCACGUCCUCAUCCCUUGUUUCGCUCUGUACAGAAUUGCAGGAAUCCGUUCUCUCACUUUCUCUCGUGUGCUCCCGUCCUCUCCUAGCGUAACUGGGUGGUCCUCCUCCGACCACCACGUGGGACAUUCAAUAUCCCCGUUGACAUACUGCGUCAUCACCUAAUAAAUGCUGCUGCGAACUCCGUCCAUCGCCGCAUGUUCAUCGAUCAAGGAAAAAAGGGUCUUCUAGUGUUGUCCCACCUCUUAUUGAUCAAAUUAAACUAGUUUUUGGAAGUUGGGUCAUCCUUAAGAAAAAAGAGAAGAGAUACUAACAAGAGAAAUGGAGAAGAUGGAAGAGAGAUGCGACGGAUAUUUGCGGAAAUUGCAUUGUAAAAAGGCGUACUAAUGAGUACUGGAAGUAGAGCAAGCAAUACGUGCGAGAUGAGACGCACUCUUGAUUUCUCCGGAAAAGUUCGACGAGAUUGGAAAAGAUCUGAUUGUUUCAAUUUCUCGGUAAACUUAUCUAUCAGGUAAGUAUGUGUCUAUCUUCAUUUUUUUUUCUUAAAUAAAUAAAGACACACAUAUUUACCUGAUGGGUAAGUUUACCAAGAAGUCGAAAUAAUCGGCCCUUAGAUAUACAAGAACGCUUAUCGCUUGUCUAAAAAAAAGGCGAUUCAUGCAAACGUAUUCCGUUAAAAUUGGAGUCAAAUCUACCUACAUUUCCGGCUGAAAAUCUAUCUACAGAAUUGCAAAUAACCAAUGGACUGCUUAACGGAAAAACGUGCAAAAAUUCUCUUGUCUUGAGAGAAGAGAAAGAGCAAAACGUUAGUGGGAAAUACGAUUAGUGUUAUACCUAUAGUAAGAAUGAGAAACCGCAUUGCGACACGAAAGAGUUUAUGUGGAAAUAAUUUUGACAUUGGAUGACGACAUGUUGAUAUGAUGAAGAAAUAUAUCAUCCAAAAAAUUUCCAACGAUUGGAUUCCAAGAAAUUGAAGGAUAUCUAGAAGUUGAAUGAACUCCGUGAGAUAUGAAACAAAUAUUUUGCCAGGGAAGAAACCUGUUUCGCGCGCGGUAUGACAUUGCGCAACAUGUGCGACUAGUGCGAAAGCGUACCCAACAUAACUGGUAGUUAUACGUGAGAGCGUGUCGUAGUAUGAUUAUAAAUAAUCGUGUAUCAAAUAAUUUGAUGAUAAAAAAAGACUUGUCAUCCAUUUCUCUGCUCGAACGGAAUCGUAUGAUAAAUUUCGUACCCCCAAAUUUUCGUUUGCACAGGUAGACGACGACGACGACGACGACGACGACAUAAAACGUCCGAAGAACCAAAGAUAACAUGUAGAUAACAUGUAGAGAACAUGUAGAGAAAGUGUCUUAUUUCAAAUUUGAAGUUUUAAAUCUUAGUAUUUAAAAGUCAAAAUACUAAGAUUCGAAAGCGCUAUUUUAAAUCCGAUAUUCAAACUGUUCACGGCAAUUAAGUUUUCAAUCGUUGGAAAGGUAUGAACGACAUAUUAAAAGCCCUAAAUCACUCUUGUACGGAAUAGAAACCGAAACAUGAAUUUUAUCGUCGUCUCAAUCGCAACAACGAAAAUAAUAUAAAGGCGCGGCGAGAUGUGUCGAUGACAUGCAUCGAAUCAAAUGGAGAACUUCGAGUCACGUCAGCAUCGAUAGGCCAAACGGUCUGUGUUUCACUUUCGGCGCCCGAAGAAUUAAAUUCUUGAGACGAAUCGUACGCCAUACGUGCGCGUUUCGCUCACGCCGUGUCAAGGACAACGCGUCUAUUCCUGCGUGCUUUCCUGAGAGACACGAAAAUCGCCCCGUUCUUUUCAUCGGCGAGACAUUGUCACAAAUAGUCCCGAUGAAAGAUGUAUGACUUGGCAUAUAUUUUUUUCACUUGCCCGCAGUACUUUUCACACUCUAAUUUUUUUUAGAUCUGGCGAUUUUACGUAGCCCGAAAUUGCGAACUGACAUUAUUUGUCGUCAAAUUUGGAAAAUUGGAUUUUUGAUAUUUUGACAUCAAAAUAGUAAUUGGAUUGCACUUUAAUGAACCACGUAACUGCAGUUGAAUCAUAUCUAGUUUUAAAAUACCGACCUUAGAAAAUAAGAAUAUAAUUUCUUUUAAAUUUGGUAUAUUAGAUUAUGAAGUACUUUGCAAUAUUAACGUUUGUAUAUGUAUAUAGAUAUUUGUUUAUGAUUAGUAUCAAUACUUAUAUAUUAAUAUAAAUAUAUUAAUAUAAAAAACAUGUCAAUAAA
Monomorium pharaonis (pharaoh ant) is the source of this 2552-nucleotide RNA transcript. RefSeq lists it as uncharacterized. The transcript is spliced from 8 exons. NCBI's taxonomy places the organism in Eukaryota, Metazoa, Arthropoda, Insecta, Hymenoptera, Formicidae. The record is from RefSeq and is a predicted model, not a curated record.